CAGAUUGCAGGCNGCAACCCGCCUGCAUGAAGUCGGAAUUGCUAGUAAUCGCGGAUCAGCAUGCCGCGGUGAAUACGUUCCCGGGCCUUGUACACACCGCCCGUCACACCAUGGGAGCCGGUAAUACCCGAAGUCAGUAGUCCAACCACGUGAGGACGCUGCCGAAGGUAGGAUUGGCGACUGGGGUGAAGUCGUAACAAGGUAGC
RNAcentral lists this ribosomal RNA (206 nucleotides) under uncultured bacterium. RNAcentral describes it as "partial 16S ribosomal RNA". It matches the Rfam family "Bacterial small subunit ribosomal RNA", at positions 1294 to 1500 of the family's 1533-position model. The record is from RNAcentral.